AACCGUGCAAAGGUAGCGUAAUCACUUGCCCCCUAAAUAGGGGCCUGUAUGAAAGGUUAAUUGAGGACAACCCUGUCUUUUACGACCAAUCAAUGAAACUGAUCCCCCAGUACAAAAGCUGGGAUAAAUCCAUAAGACGAGAAGACCCUGUGGAGCUUUAAGCAAUAGUGUUACUACACCCCCCCCCCACAACCACCAAACCAGUAUAUAACAUUAGCUUUAAGUUGGGGUGACUGCGGAAAAAAAAACAACCUCCAUGAAACAGGCUAAAAGCCCCCCCCAGAUAUACCCAUCAAAUAAUAAGUAACUUGACCCAGUAAAACUGAUCAUCGAACCAAGUUACCCCAGGGAUAACAGCGCCAUCCCCUUCUAAAGUCCAUAUCGCCAAGGGGGCUUACGACCUCGAUGUUGGAUCAGGACCCCCAGAUGGUGCAGCCGCUAUCAAAGGUUCGUUUGUUCAACGAUUAAAGUCCUACGUGAU
Molecule: ribosomal RNA, 481 nt
Filed under: Afroedura nivaria
Lineage: Eukaryota; Metazoa; Chordata; Lepidosauria; Squamata; Gekkonidae
Description: partial 16S ribosomal RNA
Rfam family: Bacterial large subunit ribosomal RNA
Source: RNAcentral